Molecule: ribosomal RNA, 465 nt
Filed under: uncultured bacterium
Lineage: Bacteria
Description: partial 16S ribosomal RNA
Rfam family: Bacterial small subunit ribosomal RNA
Source: RNAcentral
GACGAACGCUGGCGGCGUGCUUAACACAUGCAAGUCGAACGGAAAGGCCCUGCUUGCAGGGUACUCGAGUGGCGAACGGGUGAGUAACACGUGGGUGAUCUGCCCUGCACUUCGGGAUAAGCCUGGUAAACUGGGUCUAAUACCGGAUAGGAGCCAUUUUUAGUGUGAUGGUUGGAAAGUUUUUUCGGUGUAGGAUGAGCUCGCGGCCUAUCAGCUUGUUGGUGGGGUAAUGGCCUACCAAGGCGGCGACGGGUAGCCGGCCUGAGAGGGUGGACGGCCACAUUGGGACUGAGAGACGGCCCAGACUCCGACGGGAGGCAGCAGUGGGGAAUAUUACACAAUGGGCGCCAGCCUGAUGCAGCGACGCCGCGGGGGGGAUGACGGCCUUCGGGUUGAAAACUCAUUUCGCUAGGGACGAAGCUUUUUGUGACGGUACCUAGAGAAGAAGCACCGGCUAACUACGUG